RNAcentral lists this transfer RNA (63 nucleotides) under Candidatus Accumulibacter sp. BA-94. It matches the Rfam family "tRNA", at positions 1 to 63 of the family's 71-position model. Rfam says of the family: Transfer RNA (tRNA) molecules are approximately 80 nucleotides in length. Their secondary structure includes four short double-helical elements and three loops (D, anti-codon, and T loops). Lineage: Bacteria; Pseudomonadati; Pseudomonadota; Betaproteobacteria. The record is from Rfam by way of RNAcentral.
GCCAAGUUGGUCAUGGUCAAGGCACCGGAUUUUGAUUCCGGCAUUCGAAGGUUCGAAUCCUUC